RNAcentral lists this ribosomal RNA (460 nucleotides) under uncultured bacterium. RNAcentral's name for it is "partial 16S ribosomal RNA". It matches the Rfam family "Bacterial small subunit ribosomal RNA", at positions 338 to 795 of the family's 1533-position model. The record is from RNAcentral.
CCUACGGGGGGCAGCAGUGAGGAAUAUUGGUCAAUGGGCGUAAGCCUGAACCAGCCAAGUCGCGUGAGGGAUGAAGGUUCUAUGGAUCGUAAACCUCUUUUAUAAGGGAAUAAAGUGUGGGACGUGUCCUGUUUUGUAUGUACCUUAUGAAUAAGGAUCGGCUAACUCCGUGCAAGCAGCCGCGGUAAUACGGGGGAUCCGAGCGUGAUCCGGAUUUAUUGGGUUUAAAGGGUGCGUAGGGGGCCUUUUAAGGCAGCGGUGAAAGUCUGUGGCUCAACCAGAGAAUUGCCGUUGAAACUGGGAGGCUGGAGUGUGUUUGAGGCAGGCGGAAUGCGUGGUGUAGCGGUGAAAUGCUUAGAUAUCACGCAGAACCCCGAUUGCGAAGGCAGCCUUCCAAGCCAUGACUGACGCUGAUGCACGAAAGCGUGGGGAUCGAACAGGAUUAGAUACCCGAGUAGUC